ACCCGCUGAAUUUAAGCAUAUAAGUAAGCGGAGGAUGAGAAACUUAACAGGACUCCCUCAGUAAUGGCGAAUGAAUAGGGAUUGGCUCAGCUUGGAAAUUGGGACCGCAUGGCCUUGAAUUGUAGUCUAGGGAUGCGCUGUCAACGGGGAUGCAGAUGUAAGCCUUUUGGAGCAGAGCAUUGUCGAGGGUGAGAGUCCCGUGUGUCAUCUGCAGCUUCCUCCCGUGCACGGCUCGCCUUCUACGAGUCACGCUCCUUGGGAUUGGAGCGCAAAGCGGGUGGUAAAUUUCAUCCAAAGCUGAAUAUAGGUUGGAGACCGAUAGCAAACAAGUACCAUGAGGGAAAGGUGAAAAGGACUUUGAAAAGAGAGUUAAGAGUGCCUGAAAUUGCUGAAAGGGAUGCGAAUGAAACCAGUGUGACUUGGCGAAAUUGCUGCAUGCCCCAUGCAACUGCCUGUCGCCACGGCGCAAGUGCGGUGGCAGGAUAUCGGCAGGGUGUUCGCGGUGCUUCUUACCUUGUCAGUCAGCGUCGCUUCACGCGCGGGGAAAACCGCUGGUACAUGGUAGCCCGUCUUGGGGUGGGUGAAUGUGCCUGCUUGCACUCGCGCGUACGCUGCUCGGUGACAGUAUGGUUCCAUUCGGCCCGUCUUGAAACACGGACCAAGGAGUCUAACACAUGUGCGAGUUCUUGGGUGGCAAUACCCGUUUGCACAAUGAAGGUGACUGCCGGGAAUCUUGCACCAGCAACCGACCAACCAAUCGAGAGAGGUUUGAGUAUGAGUACGUCUGUUAGGACCCGAAAGAUGGUGAACUAUGCCUGUGGAGGGCAAAAUCAGGGGAAACUCUGAUGGCGGCUCGCCGCGAUACUGACGUGCAAAUCGUUCGUCAUACAUGGGUAUAGGGGCGAAAGACUAAUCGAACCAUCUAGUAGCUGGUUCCCUCCGAAGUUUCCCUCAGGAUAGCUGGAAUUUAACAGUUUUAUCAGGUAAAGCGAAUGAUUAGAGGAAUUGGGGACACGUUGACCUCGACCUAUUCUCAAACUUUAAAUGGGUAAGAUACGGUGGUUACUUGGGUGAACCUCUGGGAUAAAUGACAACUCUAAGCGGGCCAUUUUUGGUAAGCAGAACUGGCGAUGAGGGAUGAACCUAACGCUGGGUUAAGGUGCUUAAUUGCUCGCUCAUCCGAUACCAUAAAGGGUGUUGGUUCAUCUUAACAGCAGGACGGUGGUCAUGGAAGUCGAAAUCCGCUAAGGAGUGUGUAACAACUCACCUGCCGAAUGGACUAGCCCCGAAAAUGGAUGGCGCUCAAGCGGGUGACUGAUACCCAACCGUUGCUGCACUUGUGAUGCAUCAAUGAGUAGGAGGGCAUGGGGGCUCGUGAUGAAGCUUGUGGUGCAAGCCUGGGUGAAACGGCUCCCAGUGCAGAUCUUGGUGGUAGUAGC
This 1439-nucleotide ribosomal RNA is filed under the name Preperidinium sp. Its description in RNAcentral is "partial large subunit ribosomal RNA". It matches the Rfam family "Eukaryotic large subunit ribosomal RNA", at positions 23 to 1464 of the family's 3401-position model. Lineage: Eukaryota; Dinophyceae; Peridiniales; Diplopsaliaceae. The record is from RNAcentral.